This 72-nucleotide transfer RNA is filed under the name Camelus bactrianus (Bactrian camel). It matches the Rfam family "tRNA". From Rfam's summary of the family: Transfer RNA (tRNA) molecules are approximately 80 nucleotides in length. Their secondary structure includes four short double-helical elements and three loops (D, anti-codon, and T loops). Lineage: Eukaryota; Metazoa; Chordata; Mammalia; Artiodactyla; Camelidae. RNAcentral also lists the same sequence under 2 other names. The record is from Rfam by way of RNAcentral.
GAGGGUCUAACUCAGUGGUAGAGUGCAUGCUUAGCAAGCAUGAGGUCCUGGGUUCAAUCCUCAGUACCUCCA